UUUUUCUUCUAAUCCCACACAGAAACAUUGCUCCUGACUAGAGACAGGAGAGUCCAGAAUUGAAAAGAUACCAGGAACAUGUAUAAACAAGGCUGCAUCAUAGAACAAGUUCCCAGUUCUACUCUUAGGUCCCAUUCUCUUGCAUCCUAAAGAUUUUCUACACCGGACAGGGUGGGGCUGGAGAAUGAUGGAACCACUGGCAUUCUCCUUGGCUUUAUGUGGAACUAUCACUGUAUGUUAAAGAUUCACAUGUUGCACAUUUCCUGCUCUCAGAAAUUCUUGUGAGAAGACAGCGUUGAAUGUUUUUAGGAUUAAAAUUAAAACUGGUGACAGAAAGAAACACUGAGAAAAAACAAAGCCUGACUAGAGACUUGGUGUUGAAGACAAGGCAACAUUUGAGUUUUUGAAUUUGUCUGGCAACAGCUUCUUGCAUUUGUAGGAGAUGGAUCAGAAAGGAAACUUUGAUUCUCCAGCCAACCCAACAGCAUGGUCUCCAGCAUGGUUUUGACUUUUCUACAGAAAAGGAUUCUUUGAUGCCAAAAAGACUUUGUGCACUUUUUAACUCGAGAAAUUUGAUUUACUGCAUUAUGGGAGAACUCAUGUUCUCUCUUGCCUUCUACUUGGCAGAAAGGAAGCAGGGCCACAGAGCAAAGCCACUGCUCUCUUAACCAAAAAUCCAGUUCACUGGGAUGUGAAAUAAUUCUACUUUUAGAUCCCACUCUUCUUCUAACUACAUUAGCCACCUCCCAGUUUUAGAUGCUGUGAGUGGGCAGCUGCUCCAACAAACAAAAGUAUGUAGAUGUAUCCCUGCUAAGGAGUAUCAGGUGGAGUGACAGCCAUUUUUCUCAUGUCACCAGAAAUGAGGGUCAAAAUGCUUUGCACAACCUUCUGUUAUUUUUUAAAGGGGAGGAAAAAUCAAGGGUGUGUCUUUGACCUUUGAAAUAUGAUGGGAAUUCCCCUACAAAUUCAGGUCAGAGGAGUUAGGAAACAAUACAGUUGAUCAAUCUGAGAGAGCUCAAGGCUUAGAAAACAGUAGGAGAGAUCAACUUAGUGCUGUAAAAUUUAUCACCAUUUUAAAUAUCUUUCAUCUCUUCAUUUACAAGGCCCAUAAAAAAGGCAAAAUAAAAGUACCUAUUUCUCUCAGAAGUCAAGAUGGCCAAUAUUCAAGAAGAUGUCUAUCUACACAGGAGAUCAUAGAAUCAUUUAGGCUGGAAAAGACCUCUAAGAUCAUCAAGUCCAGCUGUAAACCCAUCAGUGCCAUGUCCAGCAUUAAACCAUGUCCCUAAACACCAGCUCUAUAGAUUAUAAAUAUCUCCAGGGAUGGUGCUGCAAUCACAUACUGCUGGGCAGCCUGUUCCAAUUCUUGACAGCCAGUGAAGAAAAUCUCAGUGAAGAAAUUUUUCCUAAUAUACAAUCUAAACUUCCCUUGGUGCAACCUGAGGUUGUUUCCUCUCAUUGUCACUUGUUUCUCAGGAGAAGAGACUGAUACCCACCUCACUACAACCUCUACAUGAAAGUAAGGAUUUUGGGUAAAAGCAAGUAAAUCAAGGAUCCAAAGGUAAAGAAUCUCAUAUUCAUAAUGACCUGGGAACUAUUAUCUGUAUGCAUUUGGUGCUACUCAUCAUUUGAUGCUCCCUGAAAAUGUUUUCACUUUCCUGUUUAAAAAGUGUGGGACAAUAUGAAAGGCUGAUUUAGAGAUGUGUACACACAUUAGGUUUCGUGGUUUAAGAAAUCUGUCUGUGUUUUAGAAAAAUACAUUUAAUCUUCUUAAGUUGAGGCCAAAAUUUUUUGUUCCUACUCACCAGAGCCUGGAAGGGCAUAAUGCAUGAAAAUGGGGUUUUUGUAAGUCUGAACAAAGCUAUACCUUUCUUUACACCUUGCAGAUUCUGUAGCUUUGUAAGCUUGAGUUGCCCUUGCACGCUCCCAUCCUUGGAAAUGUUCAAGGCUAGGCUGGAUGGGGCCCUGAGCAACCUGGUCUGAAGAGCAGUUUGCCCCGUGGCAGGUUUGGCUGGAGCCUUCUGUGCUAGGCAAGCUUUGGAGACAUUUCUGGGUUUCCAUGCCUCCAGCAGGGCCCAUGAGAAAGGAAGCCUCUGGGUCCUAGUGAGGAUAGGCAAAAUGCUUGGAAAUAUUUUGGUGGCUGGAAAAUAAAACCAGCAGAAAUUGUGGUGCUUAUCCCUGCUGAUCCCAGUUUUAUCUCCUCCCCUCAUCUAAUCUGGGUUACGUUCUAACUCCUGAGCAAAGAUCCUUUUUUUCCAUCUGUUGCCAGAAAGCUUGGUAAGCUGACCUGUGAUCAAAAAUUCUGCUGGUAACAGCAGGCUCAGAGCCAAGUGAGGCUGUAGGCAUCUCUGUGAUUUUCCUGCUUCUGCCCCCAUUAUUCCUUGAAACUGGCAGGAUACAGGAGAACACCAUUUGUGCUCCAGAUCCUUCAACCUGGCCGUGAGGUAGCUCUUGAUUGACCUCAGACUUCUUGUUAGGAUUUUUCACUGCUCACCAGAAAAAACAGUAGUAGAUACUAUCCAGAGGGCUGUAACAGGCUGCAGAGUUUCUUGGUACUACUUGGUAUGUCAGUUCAUAGGCAUUCAGGCCCAGUGACAAAACAUGCAAAGCUAAAAUGAGCUUCCAUGAAUGUGAUCAGCCUCAUGCAGAGCUCAUGCACAUCCUCCCUGAGCACACACCCACCUCACGCACACCCACACCCCCAAAUUGUGAGAAGGUGCUGGAAAAUCUGUAACAAAACUCCUAGAUGCACCAUCACUGACAGCCUCAGGUUUAAACAAUAUAGCUUUCAAGCGAGAAACUCAAGAUUAAAAUAUAAACAUGAGUGAGAGAUGGUGCCAAACUUGGAGGGAUUAAGGGAGUCAGUGAAAGACGAAACUUCAGAAAGUGUUUGAACCUGUUUCAAAAUCCUUGACACUCAAAGGCACAGAAAAGUAACCUCUUAGUUGCUACACAAACCUGUGUUUGCCUUUGCCGCUGCCUGCAAAGGCAGCUCAUAUGUUUUAGUGACCAGAAAAGCAAGUAUGUCUCAACCACAGACCUGUGAACUGUUCCAGUUAAAUAAACUCUUCCCUCUCUGUCCAUGGGUGAGAAACACAAGGUCUUUCUUACAAGCACAAAAUCUUUCUUAGGCUUUUCUCUUGAAACUAAUCUAACCUCAUGAAAUGUUUAUGACUUGAGGCACAAGAAACAGAAUGAAAAUACUCAUGACAGCCUUAGUUAGAAAACUCAGUUAUCACUAAAUCCUGCAGGACUGUGUGAUCACCAAGGGACUUGCAAAUGAAUGGAACUAACCAAGUAAUCAGUUGGAUUUCUGAAAGUUUUUUGUCACCUUCCUUGGUACGAGACAGAAGGGGAAAAUAUUCACUGAUCCUGACUGAAAUUCAGCUGGAGGACACAAGAGGAAAAGAGUAAUGGUUCUCCCCGCAUUAGGCUGCCUAGAUGGUGGGUGUCUACAUAAGUAGGCAUCUUUCCAUUGGAAGACUUUCUUCUUCCUAAAGCUGUACACCAUUAAUACUGCACACUAAUUCCUUAGAAGAAAGUGUUGCUUCAAAGGCCCUUUCAAACUAUGUUCAGGAAGCUCAGAAGGAUGUGUUUUGUUCAGAACACAGGGAAGGAGAACUCAAAGUACAGCCCAGGGACUCUGAGAGCAGCCAGCAACCAGGACACCGGUGCCUGACUUCUCAUCUUGCCAUGCAUUUAUUUGUAGAAACACACAUGUUUGACCUUUUGCUUUGGUUUAAUCCUGAAAAUUGGGCUAGUAGGUAAUUUGUUCUGUAAAGAAGCAUAGUGGGAGUCCACGACUAUUUGGAAAGGUCACUUAAGGCUGUUCUUCUGUUUAAUUUUGUUGAGUUUCUCCCUGAAAUGGCCUUGAAAACUACCAGUGCAGCAGACAGUUAAAGCUAACCCUUAACUAGACAUCUUCCAGAAAGAAAUGAACAUUUCUGUGUCUGCUGCUCCUCAGGACUUUUGAGCAGUAUGCAGAAAUCUUCAUGCUGCCAAUGCUGUUGGCUCAAACAAUGCUUUUGACAUUUUAGGAAUAGAACAUGAAGGAUUAACAGAUAAAUGCACAUUGUUAUGCAUGAAGAACAAUUCUUAACCCUUCACACAUCCCAAAGAACAUUUGAAUGGUCUGGGUGGGCAGGGAAGAGGCAUUGGGGAAGGGGUAUUUGACUUUCCUUUUGCAUUCACAAAGGAUUCACAUCUGAACUCCCUCAUUAACCUCACAUUCUGAAAGGAUCAGAAUGCAAGAGUAUAUGACUAGAGCUCUGCAAAAACUUGACAGAAUGACAGCUGGGGUAGGAUAAAUUAUGCUUGUUAAAAGAAAGCUAAAUAUCAUAAUUUUACUCUUGAGGAUUGGGCCAUAGUGAUUUAAGGGUAUGUGAGAGCACUGAAUUGGAGGUUUAACUCCCUUUAGGAUAUACAUAACAAUUUCAAUCUUAACUAAUUCAUGUCCACUUUCCUGAAUAGACAGAUGACAGAUAGAGGUCAGCCAGAAAGCCAGGGAGUGGAACGGGGAGCUAGCAAGUACAAUGUUCAUUUCUGCAACAAUUGCUAUGUUUUUCUUUUUUUUUUUAUGAACUCAGCUAGGAUUACACAUGCUAUACUCCUCCUAUUACCAUGCAUUAAUUUUCUGUGAUACUGGCUUGCAGAUCUCUCCCAAACCAACUCUUAGUGAAGUUUAGGAGGCAUGCCCUCACUGCACAUUGAAUUCCUUUUACAACACUGAAAUACUGUCAGGUCUUAACAUGCUCAGGCUGUACCAAGGCCAAGUCAGAUAGGAAUCAGUUGUCAUGCUUGAAGAACAUUUGCUCUAAUAUGUGUCUGUACAUUUCUGUAAGGGAAGAGCUGCCAGGGAGGUGCCCUGGGAGGGCACAGGCAGGGAGCAAUGGGGAGCUGCCAUCCUGCACGCAUGCUGAACCCCUCAAAAAUGAGGAAAGUGUGUUUGUACAUUUUUACUAUUGGGGUCUGAAAUGGUGUUUUCAAACCUUCUGUUUUUCCUUUGGGAUAACCAAGAGUCUGCAUUACAACAGCAUCAGCUGUAAAGCUCAUAGAUUAGGCAGCAUAUGAGGGUGGGAUACAGCUGUUAUCAGGUAGCGCUUCUGAAGUGUUUGACAGUGUAAGCUUUACAGCCACAAGGACCACUCAUCCUUCUUGCUUCAGUUUUUAGUCUCUAGUUAAUAUUAUUCUUUGCAUUUUUUUCCCCUGUAAAACUGUGAACAUUACCUUUUGGAAGAAAUCUCUAGCAUUUAAUGGACUUUUAACAGGCAUUUCAGAUUUCAAAUAAGAACAAUCCUUUUAUUUGUAAAUUAUGCCUAGAAAAAGUCUUCAGUACCUAGUGUGACUGCAGUCCUCCUUCAUUUAGACACAUUAUGAGGUACAUUUUAGAGUAGCAUUGCCAUUAAGAUAAAUCAACUCCUUUAAGACACAUGCAUUAUUAAGUACAGAAAGGUAGGUAUCGUCUAAGUGAUUAAUCUGUCAUUUCAAUAUUUUUCUUGAAAUAAAUACAGUAACUAUCCGUGACUUAGAAUUUUCAGAGAGGAAUAUGUUUGUAAACCUCAACAGAAAGCAGAUUUGGAUACCUCAAUUUGCUUAAAAAUCCUGUUUAUAACUGCCUAUAGAACAAUGAUAAAAUAUGAAGAAUUAUCAAUGGCAAAGGCUUCUUUCUGCUCAUUCAGGAUAUUGUUAAGCAUUCUAGAGCUCCAAGGGUUUGAAUACCCUUCCAUUAAACUUCGGUCAUGUAUCUAUCUAUCUAUCUAUCUAUCUAUCUAUCUAUCUAUCUAUCUAUCUAUCAUCUAUCAUCUCUCUAUCUGCCAAUGCAUGUAACUAUGUCACAAAAUGGAACUCUGAUCUGAAACAUGUCAUGCAUCUUAAUCAAUUAGAUACAAAUGGCUUCAACUACUGUUUGCAGUAGCUUUACAUGAAACUUGUAGACUCAUUUUGCAACCAUCCCCCUUAUUAACUCAUUACAAAAAAAAAAAAUCCCUAACAACAAACAGAAGAAUAAAAGUGUGGUCAAGGAAAGAAUUAUAUAUCUUGUGGCAGUGAGAAACCUCAGACUCAAUUUGGAUAGAGAAUUUUCAAUAAAGAACACAAUAAGCAAGCAGUCUGUGUUCACUGAGAGUAUAACAUAAUUACAUACAAAUCUUGAAGCCUGAAGUUUUAAACCAAUAUGUACUUAAACUUAUGAUACCUUUAACUGCAGAGUGGGAAAAGAUAGCUCCUUGUUUAAAUUCUAUUUCCAUUAAAAAAUAAAAAUAAUAAAAGAAGAUCAUGUCUCUGGGAGGACACAUACACGUCUUGAAACCCACAAUUACCUGCAAAGAAGCAAGAUGACUACAUUAAACACACCCAGGCAGGCAUAGGUCUCAGACUGAAACAGGGAGCAGGCUGGACUGAUCAAAUACUUUCAGCAUCUGAGUCAAAUUCUUACUUCUCUUAGCACU
This is a long non-coding RNA of Taeniopygia guttata (zebra finch), 6443 nucleotides long. NCBI's taxonomy places the organism in Eukaryota, Metazoa, Chordata, Aves, Passeriformes, Estrildidae. The record is from Ensembl.